This 405-nucleotide ribosomal RNA is filed under the name uncultured bacterium. RNAcentral describes it as "partial 16S ribosomal RNA". It matches the Rfam family "Bacterial small subunit ribosomal RNA", at positions 29 to 525 of the family's 1533-position model. The record is from RNAcentral.
AUUGAACGCUGGCGGCAGGCCUAACACAUGCAAGUCGAACGAGUGGCGGACGGGUGAGUAAUGUCUGGGAAACUGCCUGAUGGAGGGGGAUAACUACUGGAAACGGUAGCUAAUACCGCAUACCAUCGGAUGUGCCCAGAUGGGAUUAGCUAGUAGGUGGGGUAACGGCUCACCUAGGCGACGAUCCCUAGCUGGUCUGAGGGGAGGACCAGCCACACUGGAACUGAGAACCGGUCCAGACUUCGAGGGGAGGCAGCGGGGGGGAAUAUUGCACAAUGGGCGCAAGCCGGAUGCAGCCAUGCCGCGUGUAUGAAGAAGGCCUUCGGGUUGUAAAGUACUUUCAGCGGGGAGGCGUUACCCGCAGAAGAAGCACCGGCUAACUCGGUGCCAGCAGCCGCGGUAAAC